Molecule: ribosomal RNA, 468 nt
Filed under: uncultured bacterium
Lineage: Bacteria
Description: partial 16S ribosomal RNA
Rfam family: Bacterial small subunit ribosomal RNA
Source: RNAcentral
GACGAACGCUGGCGGCGUGCUUAACACAUGCAAGUCGAACGGAAAGGCCCUGCUUUUGUGGGGUGCUCGAGUGGCGAACGGGUGAGUAACACGUGAGUAACCUGCCCUUGACUUUGGGAUAACUUCAGGAAACUGGUGCUAAUACCGGAUAGGAGCUCCUGCUGCAUGGUGGGGGUUGGAAAGUUUCGGCGGUUGGGGAUGGACUCGCGGCUUAUCAGCUUGUUGGUGGGGUAGUGGCUUACCAAGGCUUUGACGGGUAGCCGGCCUGAGAGGGUGACCGGCCACAUUGGGACUGAGAUACGGCGCAGACUCCUACGGGAGGCAGCAGUGGGGAAUAUUGCACAAUGGGCGGAAGCCUGAUGCAGCAACGCCGCGUGCGGGAUGACGGCCUUCGGGUUGUAAACCGCUUUCGCCUGUGACGAAGCGUGAGUGACGGUAAUGGGUAAAGAAGCACCGGCUAACUACGUG